RNAcentral lists this ribosomal RNA (433 nucleotides) under uncultured bacterium. Its description in RNAcentral is "partial 16S ribosomal RNA". It matches the Rfam family "Bacterial small subunit ribosomal RNA", at positions 29 to 507 of the family's 1533-position model. The record is from RNAcentral.
AACGAACGCUGGCGGCAGGCCUAACACAUGCAAGUCGAGCGAGGACUUCGGUUCUAGCGGCGGACGGGUGAGUAACGCGUGGGAAUGUGCCCUUCUCUACGGAAUAGCCCUGGGAAACUGGGAGUAAUACCGUAUACGCCCUUUUGGGGAAAGAUUUAUCGGAGAAGGAUCAGCCCGCGUUGGAUUAGGUAGUUGGUGGGGUAAUGGCCUACCAAGCCGACGAUCCAUAGCUGGUUUGAGAGGAUGAUCAGCCACACUGGGACUGAGACACGGCCCAGACUCCUACGGGAGGCAGCAGUGGGGAAUCUUAGACAAUGGGGGCAACCCUGAUCUAGCCAUGCCGCGUGAGUGAUGAAGGCCUUAGGGUUGUAAAGCUCUUUCAGCUGAGAAGAUAAUGACGGUACCAGCAGAAGAAGCCCCGGCUAACUCCGUG